AGAGUUUGAUCCUGGCUCAGGACGAACGCUGGCGGCGUGCUUAACACAUGCAAGUCACGGGGGCCCGCAAGGGUAACCGGCGAACGGGUGCGUAACACGUGAGCAAUCUGCCGUACUCUGGGGGAUAGCCGGCCCAACGGCCGGGUAAUACCGCAUACGCUUGUCGAGUGGCAUCGCUUGACAAGGAAACCUCCGGGGGAGUACGAGGAGCUCGCGGCCUAUCAGCUAGUUGGUGGGGUAACGGCCUACCAAGGCAUUGACGGGUAGCUGGUCUGAGAGGAUGGCCAGCCACAUUGGGACUGAGAUACGGCCCAGACUCCUACGGGAGGUAGCAGUGGGGAAUAUUGCGCAAUGGCCGCAAGGCUGACGCAGCGACGCCGCGUGGGGGAUGAAGCAUUUCGGUGUGUAAACCCCUGUUGCUCGGGACGAACAAGCCUUUUCGAGGGCUCUGACGGUACCGAGUGAGGAAGCACCGGCUAACUCCGUGCCAGCAGCCGCGGUAAUACGGAGGGUGCGAGCGUUGUCCGGAAUCACUGGGCGUAAAGGGCGCGUAGGUGGUCUGCUAAGCGUGCGGUGAAAGCCUGGGGCUCAACCCCAGGUCUGCCGUGCGAACUGGUGGACUUGAGCACUGUAGAGGCAGGUGGAAUUCCGGGUGUAGCGGUGGAAUGCGUAGAGAUCCGGAAGAACACCGGUGGCGAAGGCGGCCUGCUGGGCAGUAGCUGACACUGAGGCGCGACAGCGUGGGGAGCAAACAGGAUUAGAUACCCUGGUAGUCCACGCCGUAAACGAUGGGGACUAGG
This 800-nucleotide ribosomal RNA is filed under the name uncultured bacterium. Its description in RNAcentral is "bacterial SSU rRNA". It matches the Rfam family "Bacterial small subunit ribosomal RNA", at positions 8 to 820 of the family's 1533-position model. The record is from RNAcentral.